Molecule: small nucleolar RNA, 132 nt
Organism: Acomys russatus (golden spiny mouse)
Lineage: Eukaryota; Metazoa; Chordata; Mammalia; Rodentia; Muridae
Product: small nucleolar RNA SNORA17
Exons: 1
Source: RefSeq, a predicted model, not a curated record
CCUACCCCUAGAGGCAUUGCAGGUGUGGCUGCUGUGUACCGUGUGCGUCAUUAGGUGGCAGAGGGAAAAGAGGCUAUGUCUAUGCUCUGUGUUCUGACCUGUGAACAUCUGAAUGCUGAGUAACCUAAGAUU